RNAcentral lists this ribosomal RNA (750 nucleotides) under uncultured bacterium. RNAcentral's name for it is "bacterial SSU rRNA". It matches the Rfam family "Bacterial small subunit ribosomal RNA", at positions 59 to 787 of the family's 1533-position model. The record is from RNAcentral.
AAGAUCCAAACUGGNNCAGUCGACGAGAGACCUUUCGGGUCUCUAGUGGCGAACGGGUGAGUAACACGUAGGGAACCUGCCCGCGCACCGGGAAUACGCUCUGGAAACGGAGAACAAAUCCCGAUGUACAGGAAGGAGGCAUCUUCUUUCUGUAAACAUCCUUUAGGGGAUGGGGCGCGGAUGGACCUGCGGUGCAUUAGUUGGUUGGCGGGGUAAAGGCCCACCAAGACGAUGAUGCAUAGCCGGCCUGAGAGGGCGGACGGCCACAUUGGGACUGAGACACGGCCCAGACUCCUGCGGGAGGCAGCAGUAGGGAAUUUUCGUCAAUGGGCGCAAGCCUGAACGAGCGAUGCCGCGUGAGUGAAGAAGGCCUUCGGGUCGUAAAGCUCUGUUGCGGGGGAAAAAAGGCAGCAUCAGGAAAUGGGUGCUGACUGAUGGUGCCCCGCCAGAAAGUCACGGCUGACUACGUGCCAGCAGCCGCGGUAAUACGUAGGUGGCGAGCGUUAUCCGGAAUGAUUGGGCGUAAAGGGUGCGCAGGCGGUCCUGCAAGUCUGGAGUGAAACGCAUGAGCUCAACUCAUGCAUGGCUUUGGAAACUGGAGGACUGGAGAGCAGGAGAGGGCGGUGGAACUCCAUGUGUAGCGGUAAAAUGCGUAGAUAUAUGGAAGAACACCAGUGGCGAAGGCGGCCGCCUGGCCUGUUGCUGACGCUGAGGCACGAAAGCGUGGGGAGCAAAUAGGAUUAGAUACCC